RNAcentral lists this non-coding RNA (86 nucleotides) under unclassified sequences. Its description in RNAcentral is "RAGATH-10 RNA". It matches the Rfam family "RAGATH-10 RNA". From Rfam's summary of the family: RNA motif Associated with Genes Associated with Twister and Hammerhead ribozymes (RAGATH). The record is from Rfam by way of RNAcentral.
GAAACCUCAUCUUGCAAGCGCCAUCCGGGCGCCAGAGCAGUGUUUUUUAUAAAACACGGACAUUCCCGUCCGGGUGAGGAGAAAUG